This 875-nucleotide ribosomal RNA is filed under the name Heterosigma akashiwo. RNAcentral describes it as "partial Bacterial large subunit ribosomal RNA". It matches the Rfam family "Bacterial large subunit ribosomal RNA", at positions 1222 to 2119 of the family's 2925-position model. Lineage: Eukaryota; Raphidophyceae; Chattonellales; Chattonellaceae. The record is from RNAcentral.
GGCGAGGUAGGGGAGCGUUCUGUUGUAGGUUGAAGCAUUAACGUAAGUGGGUGUGGACGAAGCAGAAGUGAGAAUGUCGGCUUGAGUAGCGAAAACAUUGGUGAGAAUCCAAUGCCCCGAAAACCUAAGGUUUCCCCCGGAAGGCUCGUCCGCGGGGGGUGAGUCAGGACCUAAGGCGAGGUCGAAAGACGUAGUCGAUGGACAAUAGGUUAAUAUUCCUAUACCGUUUUUUAUUGGCAACGAGGGACGAAGAAGGCUAAACUUAUCCAGAUAGUGGUCACUGGUCCAAGCAUUCAAGGUUAUGAGAAAUAGUGAAAAUAUUUUGAGCUGAGAUGUGAUGGGGAGAUACUUAGUAUUGAAGUAGUUGAUGUCAUGCUUCCAAGAAAAGCUUGCACUGUCAUAAAUAGAAAACGCCUGUACCCUAAACCGACACAGGUAGGUAGGUAGAGUAUACUAAGGGGCGCGAGAUAACUCUCUCUAAGGAACUCGGCAAAAUAACCCCGUAACUUUGGGAGAAGGGGUACCCUAUGGGUUGCAAUAACAAGGUCCAAGCGACUGUUUAUCAAAAACACAGGUCUCCGCGAAGUCGAAAGACAAUGUAUGGGGGCUGACGCCUGCCCAGUGCCGGAAGGUUAAAGAAGCUGGUUAGCAGUAGCGAAGCUAGUGACUGAAGCCCCGGUGAACGGCGGCCGUAACAAUAACGGUCCUAAGGUAGCGAAAUUCCUUGUCGGGUAAGUUCCGACCUGCACGAAUGGCGUAACGAUGGCCACACUGUCUCCUCCCGAGACUCAGCGAAGUUGAAAUGUUUGUGAUGAUGCAAUCUACCCGCGGCUAGACGGAAAGACCCCAUGAACCUUUACUGUAGCUUUGCAUUG